CCGGCAGAGGUGGCUGGGGUGUCGCUGCUGUGGGAGGCGGCGGCAGAGUGAGGGGCGAGGCCCGAGGGGCCGGCGGCGGCGGCGGCGGCGGCGGCGGCGGCGGCGGCGGCGGCGGCGGCGGGGGCUUCCCGGCCGGUGUAAAAAGUGGAUAGUGGCUCACGUGUCAAAGGAUGGCACGGUCACGAUCUAGAUCCCCCAGGUGGAAACACAGGUCUUUAUCACCAGUACCUAGAAAUGCUGAACACUACAAGCAAAGACAUUCACACGGGCAUUAUGGCUGUGAAUAUAGGAAGGAUCCAAAAAGACCCGUCGCGUGGAGAAUGGACAGUGAGAAACAUGGACAGAGUAAACCAAGGAUUCCCUCUCGUGGAAAUAUAUAUUACCAGUCUUAUGAACAUAGAUCACCUUCCCCUAACAUAAGAAACUCUUUAGAAAAUGUUUAUAUGUAUAAGCCUCACAGAGGAUAUUCGCCUGGAAGAGGGGACAGUAACAGGAGAGCUCAGUAUAUGCCCAAAUACUCAGAGGGUAUACCCUACAAAGAGCAUGAAAGGAAUUCUUAUCCCCAGAAAGUGCAAGGAGGGCAUAGUCCUGAUGACCACAGAGUUAGAGGAAGUGGAAAAGGAGGGAAACCACCUCAGAGGUCAAUAGCAGAUUCUUUUAGAUUUGAAGGAAAGUGGCAUGAAGAUGAGUUGAGGCACCAGAGGAUACAAGAAGAAAAAUACUCCCAGUCAACUAGAAGAGGCUCUGAAGACUUUGAGACAAGGAGCUCAUUUCAGAAGAGGUAUCCUGAGGAUCGUGAUUUCAGAAAAUAUGGACACACAUCAAAAAGACCUAAAGACGUGGAGAGGUAUGAAAGCAGAGAGCCUGCCAGGAACCCAAAGUGGAAGCCUGAGCAUUCCCUCCCACCUUACCAAGAGGACACAGACCAGUGGAACCUUGGGCCCCAAACUUAUCGACAUGCUGAGAGGGAACACCCAGAGACCAGUUCAGCAACCAAAGUAUCCUAUGACUAUCGUCACAAACGUCCUAAGCUCUUGGAUGGGGACCAGGACUUUUCUGAUGGGAGAACUCAGAAGUACUGUAAGG
RNAcentral lists this long non-coding RNA (1086 nucleotides) under Homo sapiens (human). RNAcentral describes it as "long non-coding RNA NONHSAT223223.1". The record is from RNAcentral. Lineage: Eukaryota; Metazoa; Chordata; Mammalia; Primates; Hominidae.